AGAGUUUGAUCCUGGCUCAGAUUGAACGCUGGCGGUAUGCCUAACACAUGCAAGUCGAACGGUAACAGAGAGAAGCUUGCUUCUUUGCUGACGAGUGGCGGACGGGUGAGUAACGCGUGGGAAUCUACCUCGUAGUUGGGGAUAGCCCGGAGAAAUCCGGAUUAAUACCGAAUAAGAUCUACGGAUGAAAAGGUGCCUCUGCUUGCAAGCACUUGCUAUGAGAUGAGCCCGCGUUAGAUUAGUUAGUUGGUGGGGUAAUGGCCUACCAAGACGACGAUCUAUAGCUGGUUUGAGAGGAUGAUCAGCCACAUUGGGACUGAGACACGGCCCAGACUCCUACGGGAGGCAGCAGUGGGGAAUAUUGGACAAUGGGCGAAAGCCUGAUCCAGCAAUACCGCGUGUGUGAAGAAGGCCUUCGGGUUGUAAAGCACUUUUAUGUAGGAAGAAGGAUUGAGUGUUAAUAGCGCUUGAUUUUGACGGUACUACAGGAAUAAGCACCGGCUAACUCCGUGCCAGCAGCCGCGGUAAUACGGAGGGUGCGAGCGUUAAUCGGAAUUACUGGGCGUAAAGGGUACGUAGGCGGCUUGAUAAGUCAGAUGUGAAAUCCCCGGGCUUAACCUGGGAACUGCAUUUGAAACUGUCUGGCUAGAGUGAGUGAGAGGUUAGUGGAAUUCAAGGCGUAGCGGUGAAAUGCGUAGAGGUCUUGAGGAACAUCAGUGGCGAAGGCGACUAACUGGCACUACACUGACGCUGAGGUACGAAAGCGUGGGGAGCGAACAGGAUUAGAUACCCUGGUAGUCCACGCCCUAAACGAUGAGGACUGGCUGUUGGCGCUAUAGACGCGUCGGUAGCGAAGCUAACGCGUUAAGUUCUCCGCCUGGGGAGUACGGCCGCAAGGCUGAAACUCAAAGGAAUUGACGGGGGCCCGCACAAGCGGUGGAGCAUGUGGUUUAAUUCGAUGCAACGCGAAGAACCUUACCAUCCCUUGACAUCCUCAGAAUGAUCUGUAAUCGAUCAGUGCCUUCGGGAACUGAGUGACAGGUGCUGCACGGCUGUCGUCAGCUCGUGUCGUGAGAUGUUGGGUUAAGUCCCGCAACGAGCGCAACCCCUAUCUAUAGUUGCCAGCACGUAAUGGUGGGAACUCUAUAGAGACUGCCGGUGAUAAGCCGGAGGAAGGUGGGGACGACGUCAAGUCAUCAUGGCCCUUACGGGAUGGGCUACACACGUGCUACAAUGGUGCAUACAGAGGGUUGCCAACCCGCGAGGGGGAGCUAAUCUCAGAAAGUGCAUCUUAGUCCGGAUUGCAGUCUGCAACUCGACUGCAUGAAGUCGGAAUCGCUAGUAAUCGCGAAUCAGCAAUGUCGCGGUGAAUACGUUCCCGGGCCUUGUACACACCGCCCGUCACACCAUGGGAGUGGGUUGCUCCAGAAGUGGCUAGUCUAACCUUCGGGAAGACGGUCACCACGGAGUGAUUCAUGACUGGGGUGAAGUCGUAACAAGGUAGCCGUUGGGGAACCAGUGGCUGGAUCACCU
Molecule: ribosomal RNA, 1533 nt
Filed under: Marinicella sp.
Lineage: Bacteria; Pseudomonadati; Pseudomonadota; Gammaproteobacteria; Lysobacterales; Marinicellaceae
Description: bacterial SSU rRNA
Rfam family: Bacterial small subunit ribosomal RNA
Source: RNAcentral